GCAUAUCAAUAAGCGGAGGAAAAGAAACCAACAGGGAUUGCCCUAGUAACGGCGAGUGAAGCGGCAACAGCUCAAAUUUGAAAUCUGGCCUCGGCCCGAGUUGUAAUUUGUAGAGGAUGCUUUGGGCGCGGCUCCAACUGAGUUCCCUGGAACGGGACGCCACAGAGGGUGAGAGCCCCGUAUAGUUGGAUGCCUAGCCUAUGUAAAGCUCCUUCGACGAGUCGAGUAGUUUGGGAAUGCUGCUCAAAAUGGGAGGUAAAUUUCUUCUAAAGCUAAAUAUUGGCCAGAGACCGAUAGCGCACAAGUAGAGUGAUCGAAAGAUGAAAAGCACUUUGAAAAGAGGGUUAAAUAGCACGUGAAAUUGUUGAAAGGGAAGCGCUUGUGACCAGACUUGCGCCGGGCGGAUCAUCCGGUGUUCUCACCGGUGCACUCCGCCCGGCUCAGGCCAGCAUCGGUUCUCGCGGGGGGAUAAAGGUCCCGGGAACGUAGCUCCUCCGGGAGUGUUAUAGCCCGGGGCGUAAUGCCCUCGCGGGGACCGAGGUUCGCGCAUCUGCAAGGAUGCUGGCGUAAUGGUCACCAGCGACCCGUCUUGAAACACGGACCAAGGAGUCAAGGUUUUGCGCGAGUGUUUGGGUGUAAAACCCGCACGCGUAAUGAAAGUGAACGUAGGUGAGAGCUUCGGCGCAUCAUCGACCGAUCCUGAUGUAUUCGGAUGGAUUUGAGUAAGAGCGUUAAGCCUUGGACCCGAAAGAUGGUGAACUAUGCUUGGAUAGGGUGAAGCCAGAGGAAACUCUGGUGGAGGCUCGCAGCGGUUCUGACGUGCAAAUCGAUCGUCAAAUCUGAGCAUGGGGGCGAAAGACUAAUCGAACCAUCUAGUAGCUGGUUACCGCCGAA
Molecule: ribosomal RNA, 894 nt
Filed under: Trichocladium acropullum
Lineage: Eukaryota; Fungi; Ascomycota; Sordariomycetes; Sordariales; Chaetomiaceae
Description: LSU rRNA
Rfam family: Eukaryotic large subunit ribosomal RNA
Source: RNAcentral